RNAcentral lists this ribosomal RNA (425 nucleotides) under alpha proteobacterium ML3. RNAcentral's name for it is "bacterial SSU rRNA". It matches the Rfam family "Bacterial small subunit ribosomal RNA", at positions 18 to 489 of the family's 1533-position model. The record is from RNAcentral. Lineage: Bacteria; Pseudomonadati; Pseudomonadota; Alphaproteobacteria; Sphingomonadales; Sphingomonadaceae.
CCUGGCUCAGAACGAACGCUGGCGGCAUGCCUAACACAUGCAAGUCGAACGAGACCUUCGGGUCUAGUGGCGCACGGGUGCGUAACGCGUGGGAACCUGCCUUUAGGUUCGGAAUAACAGUGAGAAAUUACUGCUAAUACCGGAUAAUGUCUUCGGACCAAAGAUUUAUCGCCUUUAGAUGGGCCCGCGUUGGAUUAGCUAGUUGGUGGGGUAAAGGCCUACCAAGGCGACGAUCCAUAGCUGGUCUGAGAGGAUGAUCAGCCACACUGGGACUGAGACACGGCCCAGACUCCUACGGGAGGCAGCAGUGGGGAAUAUUGGACAAUGGGCGAAAGCCUGAUCCAGCAAUGCCGCGUGAGUGAUGAAGGCCUUAGGGUUGUAAAGCUCUUUUACCCGAGAUGAUAAUGACAGUAUCGGGAGAAUAA